RNAcentral lists this ribosomal RNA (352 nucleotides) under uncultured bacterium. RNAcentral's name for it is "bacterial SSU rRNA". It matches the Rfam family "Bacterial small subunit ribosomal RNA", at positions 527 to 881 of the family's 1533-position model. The record is from RNAcentral.
GGAGGAUCCGAGCGUUAUCCGGAUUUAUUGGGUUCAAAGGGAGCGUAGGUGGACUGGUAAGUCAGUUGUGAAAGUUUGCGGCUCAACCGUAAAAUUGCAGUUGAUACUGUCAGUCUUGAGUACAGUAGAGGUGGGCGGAAUUCGUGGUGUAGCGGUGAAAUGCUUAGAUAUCACGAAGAACUCCGAUUGCGAAGGCAGCCUGCUAAGCUGCAACUGACACUGAUGCUCGAAAGUGUGGGUAUCAAACAGGAUUAGAUACCCUGGUAGUCCACACGGUAAACGAUGAAUACUCGCUGUUUGCGAUAUACAGCAAGCGGCCAAGCGAAAGCGUUAAGUAUUCCACCUGGGGAGU